This 55-nucleotide transfer RNA is filed under the name Coriobacteriaceae bacterium. Its description in RNAcentral is "tRNA-Lys". It matches the Rfam family "tRNA", at positions 8 to 60 of the family's 71-position model. From Rfam's summary of the family: Transfer RNA (tRNA) molecules are approximately 80 nucleotides in length. Their secondary structure includes four short double-helical elements and three loops (D, anti-codon, and T loops). Further hydrogen bonds mediate the characteristic L-shaped molecular structure. tRNAs have two regions of fundamental functional importance: the anti-codon, which is responsible for specific mRNA codon recognition, and the 3' end, to which the tRNAs corresponding amino acid is attached (by aminoacyl-tRNA synthetases). tRNAs cope with the degeneracy of the genetic code in two manners: having more than one tRNA (with a specific anti-codon) for a particular amino acid; and 'wobble' base-pairing, i.e. permitting non-standard base-pairing at the 3rd anti-codon position. Lineage: Bacteria; Bacillati; Actinomycetota; Coriobacteriia; Coriobacteriales; Coriobacteriaceae. The record is from RNAcentral.
UAGCUCAGCUGGUAGAGCAGGGGACUCUUAAUCCCAAGGUCCAGGGUUCGAACCC